AUUGAACGCUGGCGGCAGGCUUAACACAUGCAAGUCGAGCGGGGUGAUGGUGCUUGCACUAUCACUUAGCGGCGGACGGGUGAGUAAUGCUUAGGAAUCUGCCUAUUAGUGGGGGACAACAUCUCGAAAGGGAUGCUAAUACCGCGUACGUCCUACGGGAGAAAGCAGGGGAUCACUUGUGACCUUGCGCUAAUAGAUGAGCCUAAGUCGGAUUAGCUAGUUGGUGGGGUAAAGGCCUACCAAGGCGACGAUCUGUAGCGGGUCUGAGAGGAUGAUCCGCCACACUGGGACUGGGCCACGGCCCAGACUCCUACGGGAGGCAGCAGUGGGGAAUAUUGGACAAUGGGGGGAACCCUGAUCCAGCCAUGCCGCGUGUGUGAAGAAGGCCUUAUGGUUGUAAAGCACUUUAAGCGAGGAGGAGGCUCUUUUGGUUAAUACCCAAGAUGAGUGGACGUUACUCGCAGAAUAAGCACCGGCUAACUCUGUGCCAGCCGCCGCCGUAA
This 503-nucleotide ribosomal RNA is filed under the name uncultured bacterium. RNAcentral's name for it is "partial 16S ribosomal RNA". It matches the Rfam family "Bacterial small subunit ribosomal RNA", at positions 30 to 523 of the family's 1533-position model. The record is from RNAcentral.